RNAcentral lists this ribosomal RNA (250 nucleotides) under uncultured prokaryote. RNAcentral's name for it is "partial 16S ribosomal RNA". It matches the Rfam family "Bacterial small subunit ribosomal RNA", at positions 524 to 773 of the family's 1533-position model. The record is from RNAcentral.
UACGUAGGGGGCAAGCGUUGUCCGGAAUGACUGGGCGUAAAGGGCGUGUAGGCGGUUGAUUAAGUCUGGAGUGAAAGUCCUGCAUUCAAUGUGGGAAUUGCUUUGGAGACUGGUUGACUUGAGUGCGGAAGAGGUAAGUGGAAUUCCCAGUGUAGCGGUGAAAUGCGUAGAGAUUGGGAGGAACGCCAGUGGCGAAGGCGACUUACUGGGCCGUAACUGACGCUGAGGCGCGAAAGCGUGGGGAGCGAAC